ACCUUUUCAUUUUGGAAUCUCUUCCUAGGAUAGCUAGGGAUACCUUCUUUUUAUAUUUAUUAUAUUUGAUUGUAAGAGAAAAAGUGGUCGAAGGAGGAGUACUUCUGAAAGUUUGAAGUAUGAAUAAUUGUACAAAUGUAUGAAACAAAGCAAUAAGGGAUAAUAGUAUUGAUCAUUAUAUAAAGAACACUAUCUUUAACUGAAUACGACAUUGGAAUGAGUCACGGUGAUACGGGGAUUGUCGUUUUCAUGAAUCAUUUGGGCAUUGAGGAAAGGAAGAUAAAAAUUGACGUCACACAACAUCCGACGAAGGUACGAUUUAAUCGAGACUUUGCUCGGAGUCAUACAUGAGCAAUAAAAAAUCAUAUAGAGGUAGAAAACCGAUUUUAAAAUAUAUAAUGAGGUAAGUACAUAUUUAUUUCGUAAACUAUUUGUAGUUUUAGUAUCGACAAUAAGUAUUUACAAAGGAGUUUUUUUUGCAAGUGGGUGUACGUAUGAAAUAAAAGAACGUUGUGGAUAUUUUUUUCCUCAUUGCCAAUUAAUGUUGUACUGGCGUUAUACAAACUGGGUAGUUACUGGCUAUUGUUGUAUUAUCUGGUACGUUCAGGAAAAGGGACUAAAAUGUGCCAUGCGUCACCAUGUUUACAAUGGGAAAAACCUUUACUAACUCAGUUUUAAUAAUUGUAUGUUUAGUGUGGAACCCACUCACACAAAUCCAUUCUCGUAUCAAAGGCUAACCCUAUGUGUGCACUUAACAUACGCUAGUGUGAGUUGACAGUGAGUAUGUGUGACGUCAAAAUUAUUCUUUCAUUGCGAAACUAUGGCUGUGUGCGUGGAAAACACUAACAUUCUGAUAAAGUGUGCGUGAAAAUGCGUCUGUGAGCGAUUUUUUAUGAGUACUGUUUAAUAGGAUUAUCUGUUGUAAGUACUUAAUGCUUAUUGAUGCUACCGGUCAUUUACGGAGGUCGUAUACAUACUGAAUAAGUGAGUGAAUACUCUUUGCUCUUGUAGAGCGAGGACGUCUGGCUUCUUUUCAGCCAGCUACUGAGUCAUCGUGCGUAAAUGGACAUUCCGAAUUCAAGUUUUCAUUUUAAUUUUUUAACAAAACAAUACGCAAAAAGUGGAAUGAUUAUACUAUUGUUAAUCGAGUUAUCCAAAAAUGUCAGUGUCACUAAAGAGCAGAAAAAAAAAUUGUUUGGUCAAAAUUUAUUUGUCUGUCUGAAGUGUUUUCUUAAGACAGACACCUAGAUAAAAUACAUAGAUAAGGGGAAGACCACCGAAACAAUAGAUGAUUUGUGUUGACAAUAUUGCUGGAAAGAUUAGCAUCACUUUUGAGAUAACCUCAGACAAAGAAAAAGACAUGAUAACAUAUAGAAACCUAUCAAUUACACAGAAAAAGCCACAUGACUGGAAGAAGAGCUGUGCUCACAACUGGAGCAAUUUUCAAUUGACAUAAAUUCUAUUUAAAUAAUAA
Molecule: long non-coding RNA, 1474 nt
Organism: Helicoverpa zea (corn earworm)
Lineage: Eukaryota; Metazoa; Arthropoda; Insecta; Lepidoptera; Noctuidae
Exons: 3
Source: RefSeq, a predicted model, not a curated record